AUCCCAUGAUGAGGACACUUACAAAGUAAAUCCUUAAAUCUUUCGCACGCCUCAUACAAGGAUUCAUCAUCCAAUUUUGAAUAAGAGGUUAUCUCAUUUCGUAAAUU
Molecule: non-coding RNA, 107 nt
Organism: Gossypium raimondii (Peruvian cotton)
Lineage: Eukaryota; Viridiplantae; Streptophyta; Magnoliopsida; Malvales; Malvaceae
Source: Rfam